CUUUAUAGCAACGUGAAAAGAGACUAAUACAACAAACAAUCUACUUACAAUAGAUCUGAGAAUAAAAUACCUGGGAAUAAAUUUAACCAAGAGGUGAAAGACCUGGACACUGAAAACUACAAAAAAUUGCUGGCAGAAGUUAAAGAGGAACGAAUUAAAUGACUCCUUCAGAAAUGCAACACAGAGGACUCUAGCCCAACGCAUAAUCUACACUCCAAACUGAAGUUUCUCCUUCAAACUUUGUCUGCUUUACCAUCCUGAUGAGCUUGCCUUCACAUUAACUCAAUGACCCAUGUUGCCCUGUUCACCGAAAUCCUGAAACCAACACUGAGGUAGUCCUGGAGCCUGGCUGUGGCUCUGCCCAACUUUCCUGAGCCACCUCCACUCCUUGCUACUACUGGUCACAGUGGAGAGAUACACAGAGGACAACAGGCAAGGAAAAAAGAGAGCUGAAGAUUAUCAUUAUUUCCUCACUCUUUUCAUCAAAGAUAUUAUCUCCUGGUCCUGAAAUAGUACUGCUCCUUGACACCCUCCUGAGAUACCAGACAAUAAAAAAUGUAGAUUUUAAAAAGUAACCAUCACCUUAUGCUUUAUAAUAAGCCACAAUUUUGUGCUGUUCUUAUUCUAUUAAAGACAAUCGCUACAAUAUAUAAACAUGGUUAGAAACCAUGCAAGCAAGAAAAGCAUGUGGUGAAAUAUUUAAAGAAUUGAAAGGAAAAAAAAAUCUACCUAGAAGUUUGUACCCAGUGAAAUUAUCCUCCAAAAGUGAAGGAAAAAUAAAGACUUUAUCAGAAAAAAGAAUUGAUGUAGACCUACCUUGCAAAGAAGGAUUACAAGAAGUUCUUCAGAGAGGAGGAAAAUGGUGUAGGUCAGAAACUUGGGUCUGCAUAAGCAACAGGGAGCAUCAGGAAAGAAGUUAGGUUGUCAAUAAAAGAGCCACGAGAGAGAGAGAAGAGAACUUGAAGAGACAAUAAAGGACACAAUUUGCUGCUUUCUGAAUCACUGAUGAAUCUGAGUCAGUUAAGGUAUAAAUGCUUCAAAAAUAAAUAGUAUGAAUGGCAAGAAUGGACUCUUGUUAAGUACUUUCUAAUAGUAGAAUUUGCAUUUAUUAUAAACCUGCAUCGAUGUUGCACUUUUAUCAAAAUUAAAGCCAUUAAG
RNAcentral lists this long non-coding RNA (1158 nucleotides) under Homo sapiens (human). RNAcentral's name for it is "HSALNT0381449". Lineage: Eukaryota; Metazoa; Chordata; Mammalia; Primates; Hominidae. The record is from RNAcentral.